This 497-nucleotide ribosomal RNA is filed under the name uncultured bacterium. RNAcentral's name for it is "partial 16S ribosomal RNA". It matches the Rfam family "Bacterial small subunit ribosomal RNA", at positions 28 to 507 of the family's 1533-position model. The record is from RNAcentral.
GAUGAACGCUGGCGGCGUGCCUAAUACAUGCAAGUCGAGCGAACAGACGAGGCGCUUGCUCCUCUGACGUUAGCGGCGGACGGGUGAGUAACACGUGGAUAACCUACCUAUAAGACUGGGAUAACUUCGGGAAACCGGAGCUAAUACCGGAUAAUAUAUUGAACCGCAUGGUUCAAUAGUGAAAGACGGUUUUGCUGUCACUUCUAGAUGGAUCCGCGCCGCAUUAGCUAGUUGGUAAGGUAACGGCUUACCAAGGCGACGAUGCGUAGCCGACCUGAGAGGGUGAUCGGCCACACUGGAACUGAGACACGGUCCAGACUCCUACGGGAGGCAGCAGUAGGGAAUCUUCCGCAAUGGGCGAAAGCCUGACGGAGCAACGCCGCGUGAGUGAUGAAGGUCUUCGGAUCGUAAAACUCUGUUAUUAGGGAAGAACAAAUGUGUAAGUAACUAUGCACGUCUUGACGGUACCUAAUCAGAAAGCCACGGCUAACUACGUG